UGCCACAGACACUGAUCACCCAUGGCCCCCCUGGGGUCCCAGCAGCAUCUCCUCCCCCAUAAGGUGCCCUGGCUUCUCUCUUUCCUCUGAGAGAACCCAGGCAAAUGCUAAAAACCAGGGUCCCCCACUCGCACUGUGAGUGCUGACGGUUAAACAUUACCGACAGGUUGGGUGGGAAGAGGGUUUGAGAGAACUGGGGGUUUGGUUUUGUUUUUAUCAAUUUAUUUAACAAUUUAUUUUCUUCCUGACUUAAGUUUAUGUUUAUUCUAUUUGGGAAAAGUAAUCUAUUAAUGUGGCAAAGAAAUAAAAAGACGCAGACGAAACCCA
This is a long non-coding RNA of Pipistrellus kuhlii (Kuhl's pipistrelle), 327 nucleotides long. RefSeq lists it as uncharacterized. The record is from RefSeq and is a predicted model, not a curated record. NCBI's taxonomy places the organism in Eukaryota, Metazoa, Chordata, Mammalia, Chiroptera, Vespertilionidae. The transcript is spliced from 3 exons.